AACGAACGCUGGCGGCAUGCCUAACACAUGCAAGUCUAACGAGACCUUCUGGUCUAGUGGCGCAAGGGUGCGUAACGCGUGGGAACCUGCCCUUAGGUUCGGAAUAACUCCCCGAAAGGGGUGCUAAUACCGGAUAAUGUCUUCGGACCAAAGAUUUAUCGCCUUUGGAUGGGCCCGCGUUGGAUUAGCUAGUUGGUAGGGUAAAAGCCUACCAGGGCGACGAUCCAUAGCUGGUCUGAGAGGAUGAUCAGCCACACUGGGACUGAGACACGGCCAAGAUUCUUACGGGAGGCAGCAGUGGGGAAUAUUGGACAAUGGGCGAAAGCCUGAUCCAGCAAUGCCGCGUGAGUGAUGAAGGCCUUAGGGUUGUAAAGAUCUUUUACCCGGGAUGAUAAUGACAGUACCGGGAGAAUAAGCUCAGGCUAACUCCGUG
Molecule: ribosomal RNA, 433 nt
Filed under: uncultured bacterium
Lineage: Bacteria
Description: partial 16S ribosomal RNA
Rfam family: Bacterial small subunit ribosomal RNA
Source: RNAcentral